This is an unclassified non-coding RNA of Callithrix jacchus (white-tufted-ear marmoset), 293 nucleotides long. It matches the Rfam family "Metazoan signal recognition particle RNA". From Rfam's summary of the family: The signal recognition particle (SRP) is a universally conserved ribonucleoprotein. Lineage: Eukaryota; Metazoa; Chordata; Mammalia; Primates; Cebidae. The record is from Ensembl.
GCCGGGUGCGAUGAUGCCCGCCUGUAGUCCCAGCUACUGGGGAGGCUGAGGUGGGAGGAUCGCUUGAGCCCAUUUCUGGCCUGUAGUGCGCUAUGCCAAUCAGGUGUCCACACUAAGUUCAGCAUCAACAUGGUGACCUCCCAGGAGCAAGGGACCAGCAGGUUGUCUAAGGAGGGGUGAACUGACCCAGGUCGGAAAUGGAGCAGGUCAAAACUCCCGUGCUGAUCAGUAGUGGGAUCGCACCUGAAUAGCCACUGCACUCCAGCCUGGGCAACAUAGAGACACCAUCUCAA